Molecule: long non-coding RNA, 386 nt
Filed under: Eucalyptus grandis
Lineage: Eukaryota; Viridiplantae; Streptophyta; Magnoliopsida; Myrtales; Myrtaceae
Description: long non-coding RNA (EGRA_LNC000119)
Source: RNAcentral
GUCCAAAGAAAGAGAUGAUCAUCCAGAGAGAAAGUCUAGUUUUGACUUCAAAUUAGAAUGAGGGAUUCUGAAAGAAGUCAAAUACAGACAUCAAACUUCUUCAGAUAGCUCCAUCAUCAUAAUCAUUACAGAUGUUUCAAAAUCUAAAGUAAAUCUCAAGAGGGUAGAGUAGCAAAUGGCCGCAAAAACAGUACACAGUCAGUUGAGAUUACAUGCUUAGCCAACCUGUCAAGAAAAACCAUAGGCAGACAAAUUCCCAACAACAGAUUCAGGUCCCUUAAAGGCUUAAGAAGAUACACCAGGACCUCUUCAUUGGUACAAAGAUCUAUAAGUUGACUGGCAUCCCAAUUAGUUCUCAAUUUUUGUUGCCUCUUUUGAUUAAUGAC